Molecule: long non-coding RNA, 291 nt
Organism: Chiroxiphia lanceolata (lance-tailed manakin)
Lineage: Eukaryota; Metazoa; Chordata; Aves; Passeriformes; Pipridae
Exons: 3
Source: RefSeq, a predicted model, not a curated record
UAGGAGAAGUUGAGGACAAGGAACAUUAGACACCUCUGGUCUCAGACCAGCUGAAGACGACUUCUUGCUCACUGCCCUGGCCAGCAACCCUGCAGAAGCAUGUCAUGAAGGGAUGAUCAGGGCUGAUGGAGCUUCAGGGAUGUGCUUCAAAGAGCUUUUCUAUUACUGUUCAUCGUCUUCACAGCUCUGGUCACUGUGUCAGGCUCCCGGCAAGAUACCCCAGCAGGAGGGAAGGAUGGCGACCACCUGACCUGGGGCCCGGCCCUGCUAUGGAGUUGUCAUGGCAUCUGC